This 441-nucleotide ribosomal RNA is filed under the name uncultured bacterium. RNAcentral describes it as "bacterial SSU rRNA". It matches the Rfam family "Bacterial small subunit ribosomal RNA", at positions 958 to 1398 of the family's 1533-position model. The record is from RNAcentral.
AACGCGAAGAACCUUACCUACCCUUGACAUCCUAGGAAGACUGCAGAGAUGCGGUUGUGCCGAAAGGAACCUAGAGACAGGUGCUGCAUGGCUGUCGUCAGCUCGUGUUGUGAGAUGUUGGGUUAAGUCCCGUAACGAGCGCAACCCUUAUCCUUAGUUGCCAACAUGUAAUGGUGGGGACUCUAAGGAGACUGCUGGUGAAGAACCGGAGGAAGGUGGGGACGACGUCAAGUCAUCAUGGCCUUUAUGGGUAGGGCUACACACGUGCUACAAUGGGGCGUACAGAGGGUAGCCAACUCGCGAGAGGGAGCCAAUCCUAGAAAGCGCCUCGUAGUCCGGAUUGAAGUCUGCAACUCGACUUCAUGAAGUUGGAAUCGCUAGUAAUCGCGAAUCAGAACGUCGCGGUGAAUACGUUCCCGGGCCUUGUACACACCGCUAGUC